Molecule: ribosomal RNA, 432 nt
Filed under: uncultured bacterium
Lineage: Bacteria
Description: partial 16S ribosomal RNA
Rfam family: Bacterial small subunit ribosomal RNA
Source: RNAcentral
AACGAACGCUGGCGGCAUGCCUAACACAUGCAAGUCGAACGAGACCUUCGGGUCUAGUGGCGCACGGGUGCGUAACGCGUGGGAGCCUGCCCUUAGGUUCGGAAUAACUCCCCGCAAGGGGUGCUAAUACCGGAUAAUGUCUUCGGACCAAAGAUUUAUCGCCUUUGGAUGGGCCCGCGUUGGAUUAGCUAGUUGGUAGGGUAAAAGCCUACCAAGGCGACGAUCCAUAGCUGGUCUGAGAGGAUGAUCAGCCACACUGGGACUGAGACACGGCCCAGACUCCUUCGGGUGGCAGCAGUGGGGAAUAGUGGACUGUGGGCGAAAGCCUGAUCCAGCACUGCCGCGUGAGUGAUGAUGGCCUUAGGGUUGUAAUGCUCUUUUACCCGGGAUGAUAAUGACAGUACCGGGAGAAUAAGCUCCGGCUACCUCCGU